RNAcentral lists this non-coding RNA (128 nucleotides) under Mycobacterium sherrisii. Lineage: Bacteria; Bacillati; Actinomycetota; Actinomycetes; Mycobacteriales; Mycobacteriaceae. The record is from RNAcentral.
CCGAAAAAGGGCGGCGACGGGCCCGCGUUCACGCUGAGGAAACCGGUGCGAAUCCGGUGCGGUCCCGCCACUGUGAUCGGGCACUUCCCACCCGAGAGCCAGAUACUCACCGUCGGCGCCUGCUCACC